UGGGCUUGACAUACACCGGACCGGGCUAGAGAUAGUCCUUCCCUUGUGGCUGGUGUACAGGUGGUGCAUGGUUGUCGUCAGCUCGUGUCGUGAGAUGUUGGGUUAAGUCCCGUAACGAGCGCAACCCUUGUCUUAUGUUGCCAGCACGUUGUGGUGGGGACUCAUGAGAGACUGCCGGGGUUAACUCGGAGGAAGGUGGGGAUGACGUCAAAUCAUCAUGCCCCUUAUGUCCAGGGCUUCACACAUGCUACAAUGGUCGGUACAACAGGUCGCGAUACCGCAAGGUGGAGCUAAUCCUUAAAGCCGGCCUUAGUUCGGAUUGGGGUCUGCAACUCGACCCCAUGAAGUCGGAGUCGCUAGUAAUCGUAGAUCAGCAACGCUGCGGUGAAUACGUUCCCGGGCC
This 403-nucleotide ribosomal RNA is filed under the name uncultured bacterium. Its description in RNAcentral is "bacterial SSU rRNA". It matches the Rfam family "Bacterial small subunit ribosomal RNA", at positions 976 to 1380 of the family's 1533-position model. The record is from RNAcentral.